GGCUCAGGAUGAACGCUAGCUACAGGCUUUAACACAUGCAAGUCGAGGGGCAGCGGGAUUGAAGCUUGCUUCAAUUGCCGGCGACCGGCGCACGGGUGAGUAACGCGUAUCCAACCUUCCGUACACUCAGGGAUAGCCUUUCGAAAGAAAGAUUAAUACCUGAUGGUAUGAUGAGAUCGCAUGGUAUCAUCAUUAAAGAUUUAUCGGUGUACGAUGGGGAUGCGUUCCAUUAGGUAGUAGGCGGGGUAACGGCCCACCUAGUCUUCGAUGGAUAGGGGUUCUGAGAGGAAGGUCCCCCACAUUGGAACUGAGACACGGUCCAAACUCCUACGGGAGGCAGCAGUGAGGAAUAUUGGUCAAUGGGCGAGAGUCUGAACCAGCCAAGUAGCGUGAAGGAUGAAGGUCCUACGGAUUGUAAACUUCUUUUAUAAGGGAAUAAAACCUCCCACGUGUGGGAGCUUGUAUGUACCUUAUGAAUAAGCAUCGGCUAACUCCGUG
Molecule: ribosomal RNA, 498 nt
Filed under: uncultured bacterium
Lineage: Bacteria
Description: bacterial SSU rRNA
Rfam family: Bacterial small subunit ribosomal RNA
Source: RNAcentral